UGGAUCAGUGGCGAACGGGUGAGUAACACGUGAGCAACCUGCCCCCUACUUCGGGAUAAGCCUUGGAAACGGGGUCUAAUACCGGAUAUGAACACGUGCCGCAUGGUGGGUGUUGGAAAGUUUUUCGGUGGGGGAUGGGCUCGCGGCCUAUCAGCUUGUUGGUGGGGUAAUGGCCUACCAAGGCGUCGACGGGUAGCCGGCCUGAGAGGGCGACCGGCCACACUGGGACUGAGACACGGCCCAGACUCCUACGGGAGGCAGCAGUGGGGAAUAUUGCACAAUGGGCGAAAGCCUGAUGCAGCGACGCCACGUGAGGGAUGACGGCCUUCGGGUUGUAAACCUCUUUCAGCAGGGAAGAAGCGCAAGUGACGGUACCUGCAGAAGAAGCGCCGGCUAACUACGUGCCAGCAGCCGCGGUAAUACGUAGGGCGCAAGCGUUGUCCGGAAUUAUUGGGCGUAAAGAGCUCGUAGGCGGUCUGUCGCGUCUGGUGUGAAAUCCCAUGGCUCAACUGUGGGCUUGCAUCGGGUACGGGCAGACUAGAGUGCUGUAGGGGAGACUGGAAUUCCUGGUGUAGCGGUGGAAUGCGCAGAUAUCAGGAGGAACACCGAUGGCGAAGGCAGGUCUCUGGGCAGUUACUGACGCUGAG
This 647-nucleotide ribosomal RNA is filed under the name Promicromonospora sp. RNAcentral describes it as "bacterial SSU rRNA". It matches the Rfam family "Bacterial small subunit ribosomal RNA", at positions 88 to 750 of the family's 1533-position model. Lineage: Bacteria; Bacillati; Actinomycetota; Actinomycetes; Micrococcales; Promicromonosporaceae. The record is from RNAcentral.